RNAcentral lists this ribosomal RNA (373 nucleotides) under uncultured bacterium. RNAcentral describes it as "bacterial SSU rRNA". It matches the Rfam family "Bacterial small subunit ribosomal RNA", at positions 523 to 898 of the family's 1533-position model. The record is from RNAcentral.
AUACGUAGGUGGCGAGCGUUGUCCGGAUUUAUUGGGUUUAAAGGGUGCGUAGGCGUCCUGACAAGUUUUAGGUGAAAUGCCCAGGCUCAACCUGGGAGCUGCCUGAAAAACUGUUGGGAUUGAGUACAGACGAGGUAGGCGGAAUUGACGGUGUAGCGGUGAAAUGCAUAGAUAUCGUCAGGAACACCAAUAGCGUAGGCAGCUUACUAGACUGUAACUGACGCUGAGGCACGAAAGUGUGGGGAUCAAACAGGAUUAGAUACCCUGGUAGUCCACACUGUAAACGUUGAUGACUCGCUGUGUGCGAUAUACAGUACGCGGCCAAGCGAAAGCGAUAAGUCAUCCACCUGGGGAGUACGCCGGCAACGGUGAA